GACGAAGGAUGCAAGCGUUAUCCGGAUUCAUUGGGUUUAAAGGGAGCGUAGGCGGCCUUGUAAGUCAGUGGUGAAAUCUCUGGGCUUAACCCAGAAAUUGCCAUUGAUACUGCAGGGCUUGAGUACAGUUGCCGUUGGCGGAAUAUGACAUGUAGUGGUGAAAUACAUAGAGAUGUCAUAGAACACCGAGGGGGAAACCAGUCGACUGGGCAUCUACUGACGCUGAGGUGCGAGAGCGUGGGGAGCGAACCGG
This 253-nucleotide ribosomal RNA is filed under the name uncultured bacterium. RNAcentral's name for it is "partial 16S ribosomal RNA". It matches the Rfam family "Bacterial small subunit ribosomal RNA", at positions 524 to 776 of the family's 1533-position model. The record is from RNAcentral.